This 336-nucleotide unclassified non-coding RNA is filed under the name soil metagenome. RNAcentral's name for it is "partial contains 5.8S ribosomal RNA, internal transcribed spacer 2, and large subunit ribosomal RNA". The stretch from base 1 to 120 matches the Rfam family "5.8S ribosomal RNA", at positions 35 to 154 of the family's 154-position model. The record is from RNAcentral.
GAUGAAGAACGUAGCGAAAUGCGAUAAGUAAUGUGAAUUGCAGAAUUCAGUGAAUCAUCGAAUCUUUGAACGCACAUUGCGCCCCUUGGUAUUCCGAGGGGCAUGCCUGUUCGAGCGUCAUUACACCACUCAAGCUAUGCUUGGUAUUGGGCGUCGUCCUUAGUUGGGCGCGCCUUAAAGACCUCGGCGAGGCCACUCCGGCUUUAGGCGUAGUAGAAUUUAUUCGAACGUCUGUCAAAGGAGAGGAACUCUGCCGACUGAAACCUUUAUUUUUCUAGGUUGACCUCGGAUCAGGUAGGGAUACCCGCUGAACUUAAGCAUAUCAAAAGCGGAGGA